CGAACGCACCUUCGGGUGAGUGGCAGACGGGUGAGUAACGCGUGGGAAUCUACCCAAUACUCCGGAAUAACUCAGGGAAACUUGUGCUAAUACCGGAUACGCCCUCCGGGGGAAAGAUUUAUCGGUAUUGGAUGAGCCCGCGUUGGAUUAGCUAGUUGGUGAGGUAAUGGCUCACCAAGGCGACGAUCCAUAGCUGGUCUGAGAGGAUGAUCAGCCACACUGGGACUGAGACACGGCCCAGACUCCUACGGGAGGCAGCAGUGGGGAAUAUUGGACAAUGGGCGCAAGCCUGAUCCAGCCAUGCCGCGUGAGUGAUGACGGCCUUAGGGUUGUAAAGCUCUUUCAACGGUGAAGAUAAUGACGGUAACCGUAGAAGAAGCCCCGGCUAACUUCGUGCCAGCAGCCGCGGUAAUACGAAGGGGGCUAGCGUUGUUCGGAAUAACUGGGCGUAAAGCGCACGUAGGCGGACUAUUAAGUCAGGGGUGAAAUCCCGGGGCUCAACCCCGGAACUGCCUUUGAUACUGGUAGUCUAGAGUUCGAGAGAGGUGAGUGGAAUUCCGAGUGUAGAGGUGAAAUUCGCAGAUAUUCGGAGGAACACCAGUGGCGAAGGCGGCUCACUGGCUCGAUACUGACGCUGAGGUGCGAAAGCG
Molecule: ribosomal RNA, 650 nt
Filed under: Phyllobacterium loti
Lineage: Bacteria; Pseudomonadati; Pseudomonadota; Alphaproteobacteria; Hyphomicrobiales; Phyllobacteriaceae
Description: bacterial SSU rRNA
Rfam family: Bacterial small subunit ribosomal RNA
Source: RNAcentral